UGGGGAAUAUUGGACAAUGGGCGCAAGCCUGAUCCAGCAAUGCCGCGUGUGUGAAGAAGGCCUUCGGGUUGUAAAGCACUUUUAUCAGGAGCGAAACGCUGUCGGCUAAUACCCGGCGGAACUGACGGUACCUGAGGAAUAAGCACCGGCUAACUUCGUGCCAGCAGCCGCGGUAAUACGAAGGGUGCAAGCGUUAAUCGGAAUUACUGGGCGUAAAGCGUGCGUAGGCGGUUUCUUAAGUCUGCUGUGAAAUCCCCGGGCUCAACCUGGGAAUGGCAGUGGAUACUGGGAGGCUAGAGUGUGUCAGAGGGUGGUGGAAUUCCCGGUGUAGCGGUGAAAUGCGUAGAGAUCGGGAGGAACAUCAGUGGCGAAGGCGGCCACCUGGGACAACACUGACGCUGAGGCACGAAAGCGUGGGGAGCAAACAGGAUUAGAUACCCUGGUAGUCCACGCCCUAAAGCGAUGCGAACUGGAUGUUGGUCUCAACUCGGAGAUCAGUGUCGAAGCUAACGCGUUAGGUUCGCCGCCUGGGGAGUACGGUCGCAAGACU
Molecule: ribosomal RNA, 550 nt
Filed under: uncultured bacterium
Lineage: Bacteria
Description: partial 16S ribosomal RNA
Rfam family: Bacterial small subunit ribosomal RNA
Source: RNAcentral